This 253-nucleotide ribosomal RNA is filed under the name uncultured bacterium. RNAcentral's name for it is "partial 16S ribosomal RNA". It matches the Rfam family "Bacterial small subunit ribosomal RNA", at positions 524 to 776 of the family's 1533-position model. The record is from RNAcentral.
UACGUAGGGUCCGAGCGUUGUCCGGAAUUACUGGGCGUAAAGAGCUCGUAGGUGGUUUGUCGCGUUGUCCGUGAAAACUCACAGCUCAACUGUGGGCGUGCGGGCGAUACGGGCAGACUGGAGUUCUGCAGGGGAGACUGGAAUUCCUGGUGUAGCGGUGGAAUGCGCAGAUAUCAGGAGGAACACCGGUGGCGAAGGCGGGUCUCUGGGCAGUAACUGACGCUGAGGAGCGAAAGCGUGGGGAGCGAACAGG